GAAGGUAUCCUCCUGGCCAUGGUGAUGUGUUCCCGUCCUUGAAGAACAGUGGCAAGCUUGAUGCACUGUUAUCACAGGGUAAGGAGUAUGUGUUUGUUGCCAACUCAGACAACUUGGGUGCUGUUGUCGACUUGAAAAUCUUGAGUCACUUGGUCCACAACAAGAAUGAAUACUGCAUGGAAGUGACACCCAAAACCUUGGC
This is a long non-coding RNA of Carya illinoinensis, 202 nucleotides long. RefSeq lists it as uncharacterized. NCBI's taxonomy places the organism in Eukaryota, Viridiplantae, Streptophyta, Magnoliopsida, Fagales, Juglandaceae. The transcript has 3 exons. The record is from RefSeq and is a predicted model, not a curated record.